GUAGUCUGCCAUACGCAGGAAGACCCGCUGAACUGAAGCAUCUCAUUAAGCGGAGGAAAAGAAACUAACUAGGAUUCCCUUAGUAAAGGCGAUCGAAAAGGGAACAGCCCAACGUCUUAAUCCCGCAAGGGAAAUGUAGUCGGUUCACCUAUUGCACUGGUCUAAGUCAGAUGGAAUGCUGCGCGAUUCAGAGUAAAAGCCUCGUAUGACCAACCGCAAGCUUACGAUGGACCGGGGAGAGUCGGAUACUUUGAGAGUAGUGUCUUAAGGGGGUGGUAUGUCCCAUCCAAGGCUAAAUAACGUGAGGAGACCGAUAGAUUACAAGUAGUGUGAACGAAAGAUGAAAAGAACUCUAAAACAGAGGGUGAAAAGUUCCUGAACUUGCUUAGGGUUAAGGCUAUUUAUAGUACCCGUCUUGAAACACGGAUUAGGGAGUUUAUCUGUAGUGCGAGUCUUUGCACGUUAACUGUAAAGGCGUAGAGAAAGCAACUGGCGUUUGCAUGGCUACUGAGCAUUACUGAUAGGACCCGAAAGGUGGUGAACUUUGCCUGCACAGGUUGAAGUCAUGGGAAACUCUGAUGGAGGACCGUACGGGUUAUUGAUGUGCAAAUCAUUUUUUCUGAUGUAGGUAAAGGUGCG
This 639-nucleotide non-coding RNA is filed under the name Trichomonas vaginalis G3. RNAcentral's name for it is "Eukaryotic large subunit ribosomal RNA". It matches the Rfam family "Eukaryotic large subunit ribosomal RNA", at positions 1 to 925 of the family's 3401-position model. The record is from Rfam by way of RNAcentral. Lineage: Eukaryota; Parabasalia; Trichomonadida; Trichomonadidae.